UGAUAUUUCCUGUUUCUUUUUCCAUUUUUGUUUCCAUUUUUUAUUUUUGUAAGAAGAAAGUAGAAAAGAGGAGAAGAGAGACUCACCUUAGAGGUGGAAACGCCGGAUCCUGGUUCACUCUGCCGUAAUCGGAGCUUGGACCGGGUGUAAAGAGGCUGAGGCGGCGCAACUUAUGAGUGAAAGGAGAUUAGAUUUUUUUUAGGUUUUUUUUUCUUUUCGGUUUAGAGUAAUGUUAGUUUUAAUGUUGGCUUAAAGGGAAAUCAUAAAACGUCACCGUUUGGGCCUGAUUCAAUGGCUCUGAAACGGUGCCGUUUUAGGCCGCGACCCGAUGACCCGCCCAGACGCGGUUAGAUCCGCGUGUUCUGGAGUAGGGAGGGAUAUUUGCGCAACCAGUCCAUCCCUUUUCUGUUUUUUUUAGAAUCAGUGGUCUUAUUUCUUUCCGAUUUAGC
RNAcentral lists this long non-coding RNA (449 nucleotides) under Gossypium raimondii (Peruvian cotton). RNAcentral's name for it is "long non-coding RNA (GRAI_LNC001253)". Lineage: Eukaryota; Viridiplantae; Streptophyta; Magnoliopsida; Malvales; Malvaceae. The record is from RNAcentral.